CCUACGGGGGGCAGCAGUGGGGAAUAUUGCACAAUGGGCGCAAGCCUGAUGCAGCGACGCCGCGUGAGCGAUGAAGGCCUUCGGGUCGUAAAGCUCUGUCCUAAGGGAAGAAUAUUGACGGUACCUUAGGAGGAAGCCCCGGCUAACUACGUGCCAGCAGCCGCGGUAAUACGUAGGGGGCUAGCGUUAUCCGGAAUUACUGGGCGUAAAGGGUGCGUAAGCGGCCCUUUAAGUCAGAGGUGAAAGGCUACGGCUCAACCGUAGUAAGCCUUUGAAACUGUAGGGCUUGAGUGCAGUAGAGGGGAGUGGAAUUCCCAGUGUAGCGGUUAAAUGCGUAGAUAUUGGGAGGAACACCAGUUGCGAAGGCGGCUCUCUGGACUGUAACUGACGCUAAGGCACGAAAGCGUGGAGAGCAAACAGGAUUAGAUACCCUAGUAGUC
This 440-nucleotide ribosomal RNA is filed under the name uncultured bacterium. RNAcentral's name for it is "bacterial SSU rRNA". It matches the Rfam family "Bacterial small subunit ribosomal RNA", at positions 338 to 795 of the family's 1533-position model. The record is from RNAcentral.